UAGAUACCCUGGUAGUCCACGCCCUAAACGAUGCACACUAGUUGUUGCUAUGCUCGACAUAGCAGUAAUGCAGUUAACACAGUAAGUGUGCCGCCUGGGGAGUACGGUCGCAAGAUUAAAACUCAAAGGAAUAGACGGGGACCCGCACAAGCGGUGGAGCAUGUGGUUUAAUUCGACGAUACGCGAAGAACCUUACCUGGCCUUGACAUAGAUAGAACUUUCCAGAGACGGAUUGGUGCUAGUUUACUAGAGCUAUCAUACAGGUGCUGCACGGCUGUCGUCAGCUCGUGUCGUGAGAUGUUGGGUUAAGUCCCGCAACGAGCGCAACCCUCGUGUUUAGUUACUAACAGUUCGGCUGAGGACUCUAAACAGACUGCCUGGGUAACCAGGAGGAAGGUGAGGAUGACGUCAAGUCAUCAUGGCCCUUACGGCCAGGGCUACACACGUGCUACAAUGGGGUAUACAAAGAGCAGCAAUACGGUGACGUGGAGCAAGUCUCAUAAAAUAUCUCCCAGUUCGGAUUGAAGUCUGCAACUCGACUUCAUGAAGUUGGAAUCGCUAGUAAUCGUAGAUCAGCAAUGCUACGGUGAAUACGUUCCCGGGUCUUGUACUCACCGCCCGUCACACCAUGGGAAUUGAAUUCAUUCGAAGCGGGGAUGCUAAAAUAGCUACCUUCCACAGUGGAUUUAGUAACUAGGGUGAAGUCGUAACAAGGUA
This 717-nucleotide ribosomal RNA is filed under the name uncultured bacterium. RNAcentral's name for it is "bacterial SSU rRNA". It matches the Rfam family "Bacterial small subunit ribosomal RNA", at positions 779 to 1498 of the family's 1533-position model. The record is from RNAcentral.